CAAGAGAUGACUCAUACAGAGAAAAUGUGUACAGGACACAGAAUUUGUGAAUAAUCGGAGUAUGAGGAGAAAUAGAAGAGUCAGCAGAAUGAACGUGUGGUUAUCUGGUCAGGGCUCUGAAGAUGUCUUACGAAGAAAACCUUCUAAUCUCACAGGAGGCCCGGUAUCAGCAGAUUCACUCGUGUCACAGUAUGAACAACUUUAAAAGAUACUUAGAAGAUGUCAAGAAGAAAGCAGAAAUGAGAAAUUUGCUGCAGUUUCUCAUUCGCCGAGGCUCUGCAUUUCUGUUCUCUCCCAUUAUGGAUUUAUUUCUCUUUGUAUUUGAAAAACAGAAGACACUAUUGGCAAUAAAUGGUAGUACUAUGUCUUGCAAAACAGCUGAACUGCACCAAACCCGUGACAACUCCUAGACCUCCAGCUUUCCAUCUGGUGAGAUUCACUCUGAGCUGGGAGCUCCCGCUGACUUGACUGCAAAAGAAAGAAGCAUCACCAAUGGAGAUUAAUCCUCCCAUCAGCCUUGAGAGAAAGGGCUGCAGGCCCGUGUGGAUUUGCUCAGCACGCCACUGACUUUAUUAAACAACCUACCAGACAAAGGGAAACAAAGUCUCUCCCUCUUUCCAAAGAGCACCGUGCCAAAAAUGUGUAUUAGAUGGUCAAAGGCCAUAGGGUCAGGUCCAAAUGCAGCUUUUCUAGAUACAAUGAAGCACUUUCCCAUGUUGCAGCUCAAUCAAACAUAGUUUUUGUAAGCCAGGGAAAUUCAGAGGGAGGCUUGCGGUAAUUUAGCAAUCGUUUUUCUUAUUUCCUGUAGUUGAUUUAGGAGGAGGUCACUUGUUUGCUUAACGAACAUUGAAUUCCGUGCCAGAGAGGGAGCGAGGGCCUGGGAGCAGAGAGGUAGGAAUGUGGCGCACAGUCUCUGCCCCAGGAAGUGCACGGGGUGGAGAGAUGGGGUGUGGAGGCGACAAUCAAGUAAAUCCACAGUUCCAGCACGUCAGCAGGAGCCUGGGUCUCGAAUCGCAUGCAGCGGGCUUGGAGUAGAUAAGAUGUGCCUAGUCAGCCUAGGGAGGAAUCAACCAGACUUCACAGAGGAGGUCAGCCUUUGAGGAGUCAUUCACUUAUUUGCAAUUUAUGGAUCCAUUUAAUAAAUAUUAUGGAAUGUUAAUUUCAUUUUAUGCUAGGUGUCAUGGGCUGAGUGCUGGCCACCCCACAUCACCAGAAUCUGUUUCGAAACAUCUUGGCCCUCCCUCAGGGAGCUAGGGUCUAGCGCAGGUGGCACACUGGGGGUGAUGAGCGCCCAGGCCCUAGGGCAGGGAAGGGGCAAGCAAACUGUGUCCGUGGCAAUGAAGGACCAUUUUUGGAACACCUGUCUGUCCCAAUAUGUUUUACUGAGGUCAAUGCAACAAACUCAUUUUUAAAAAAUAAUGUUGAUAUU
This 1429-nucleotide long non-coding RNA is filed under the name Homo sapiens (human). RNAcentral's name for it is "HSALNT0109682". Lineage: Eukaryota; Metazoa; Chordata; Mammalia; Primates; Hominidae. The record is from RNAcentral.